RNAcentral lists this ribosomal RNA (596 nucleotides) under Anisomeridium phaeospermum. RNAcentral's name for it is "SSU rRNA". It matches the Rfam family "Eukaryotic small subunit ribosomal RNA", at positions 182 to 785 of the family's 1831-position model. Lineage: Eukaryota; Fungi; Ascomycota; Dothideomycetes; Monoblastiales; Monoblastiaceae. The record is from RNAcentral.
CUCGACUCCGGAAGAGGUGUAUUUAUUAGAUUAAAAACCAACGCCCUUCGGGGCUCCUUGGUGAUUCAUAAUAACUUCACGAAUCGCAUGGCCUUGCGCCGGCGAUGGUUCAUUCAAAUUUCUGCCCUAUCAACUUUCGAUGGUAGUAUAGAGGACUACCAUGGUUUCAACGGGUAACGGGGAAUAAGGGUUCGAUUCCGGAGAGGGAGCCUGAGAAACGGCUACCACAUCCAAGGAAGGCAGCAGGCGCGCAAAUUACCCAAUCCCGACACGGGGAGGUAGUGACAAUAAAUACUGAUACAGGGCUCUUUUGGGUCUUGUAAUUGGAAUGAGUACAAUCUAAAUCCCUUAACGAGGAACAAUUGGAGGGCAAGUCUGGUGCCAGCAGCCGCGGUAAUUCCAGCUCCAAUAGCGUAUAUUAAAGUUGUUGCAGUUAAAAAGCUCGUAGUUGAACCUUGGGUCUGGCUGGCCGGUCCGCCUCACCGCGUGCACUGGUCCGGCCGGGCCUUUCCUCCCGGGGAACCGCAUGCCCUUCACUGGGCGUGCCGGGGAACCGGGACUUUUACUUUGAAAAAAUUAGAGUGUUCAAAGCAGGC